This 241-nucleotide unclassified non-coding RNA is filed under the name fungal sp. RNAcentral describes it as "partial internal transcribed spacer region". The stretch from base 1 to 46 matches the Rfam family "Eukaryotic small subunit ribosomal RNA", at positions 1786 to 1831 of the family's 1831-position model. Lineage: Eukaryota; Fungi. The record is from RNAcentral.
AAGUCGUAACAAGGUUUUCGUAGGUGAACCUGCGGAAGGAUCAUUCUUGUAUACCUGGUUGGGCGUAAGCCUAGCCAAACCAUGUGUGAAUCUUUAUACUCACCCGGUGGGUGCGCUGUGCUGGGCCUUGCCUGGCUGGCGUCUCUGUCGGGAACCCUUCGCAAGAAGUGGUAAUCAUGUUAAUAGCAGGGAACUCAAAGGUAACAAAUACAACUUUUAACGAUGGAUCUCUUGGCUCUCA